AACGCACCUUGCGCCCUUUGGUAAUCCGAGGGGCAUGCCUGUUUGAGUGUCUUGAAGCUCUCAAACAUUUAUUUACUUAAAUGUUUGGAUUUGGGUGUUCUUUGCCGGUCGCAAGAUCGGCUCACCCUAAACGCAUUAGCUGGCUUUUGGGUCCGCGAACUCGGUGUGAUAAUUGUCACUCGCUGGGAUUUCGUAACCUUAAGGAAGCUGCUUCCAAUCGUCUCCUCGUGAGACAAUACAUCUAAGUGUUUGACCUCAAAUCAGGUAGGACUACCCGCUGAACUUAA
Molecule: unclassified non-coding RNA, 287 nt
Filed under: Pterula sp.
Lineage: Eukaryota; Fungi; Basidiomycota; Agaricomycetes; Agaricales; Pterulaceae
Description: partial contains 5.8S ribosomal RNA, internal transcribed spacer 2, and large subunit ribosomal RNA
Rfam family: 5.8S ribosomal RNA (bases 1-52)
Source: RNAcentral